This is a non-coding RNA of Malus domestica (apple), 861 nucleotides long. The record is from RefSeq and is a predicted model, not a curated record. Lineage: Eukaryota; Viridiplantae; Streptophyta; Magnoliopsida; Rosales; Rosaceae.
AACCUCAUCCCAUGGAGAUGCUCUAAAAACACUUAAAAAAAAAAAACCACCAAUUCCAAAUGCAGUACUCAAAGAAUAUAGUGCGAACGCAUCUUUCGCCAACAACUAGAAAUAUGUGGAAGGUCAGGAUGUUAGUCGUUCCUCCUAAACUGGUAGGUUUUAAGAAGCGAGGACGAAGAGGUUCGUUACUGUUGCACUGUGGGUGAAACAAUAUAGCCAUGAAAGAUUCAACAAAUGGAGAAUUCCGGGACUUCAAGAAAAUGAAAAUAUGGGUUAAGAAGAACUCUGGCUACAAAUGCAUGAUGUUAUACGCAAGGUCCUUAGCAAUCACUUGGGGUGGUCCUCCGUACUGGGUUUGGAAUUGUUAUAAAGAGACAGGGGAUGACAACAUUGAGGUAGCCAAACUAACGGGUGUACGCGAUCUAGAUGUCCAAGGACGGUUCAAGAUGUCGGAGCUCUCACCAGGAGUUGUUUAUGAGAUUGCCUACAUUGUUAAAUAACAAACGGAGCAUCUGGAUGGGAACUCCCUGUUACACUCAAAAUCACUCUCCCGGGGCAGGGCGGAAGAGAAAAGAAGCGCCAAUACAGUCUACUCGAGAAGCCGAGAGGAGUGUGGAUGGAGCUUGUUGGUGGCAGUUUUCAGUCAAUGGCAAGAGAAACUGGAGAAGUGAUCUUUGAUUUUUAUAAUCAUGACACGCCCUCGAAAAGUGGGCUUAUCAUCAAAGGUAUCAUUAUCAGGCCAAAAAAUUGAACAGGUCGUGCAAAGUAUAGGAUUCUAAUGCUAAUUAUAAAGACUGAUUUCCUAUAGCCUGUACAUUGAUGAUCUAUAUAGCAAUAAAGAAUCAUUUCCUUUUCCUUUCA